GAUUGAAUGCUUCAUGAAGGGAAUCAAGAGACCGCGUACCAUAAGGCUGAUUCAGGUUUCAACUUGGUAUCUGGUGGCAAAUUAUCAAAGUUGACUGGAUGAAGAAUGAGAAAGUUUAAGCCAUUGGGAAGUGAAUCAAGAAAAGCAUUUUGACAUAUGGAUAAAUGUAUCAUUUGGGAUGAUGAAAGUUGCAGAGAUGUUGUGGUAAUGGAAGUAGCAGACAGGGAUGGCUUGACUUGGAUUGGAUUGGAUUGGGAUGACUUACAAAUUCCUUUAACAUUUGGUUUUACAGAGUGCUUGAGGAAUUUAAGGCUUGAACUGGUUUGACGCCACCCCCGAAGACGAUGCGGAAUUUUUCGGAGGAGGCGGUGAAAGAAGAGUCGUCGUCGUCGGAUAUAUUUUCACUCGAGGCUUCAAUCCGCGUCGGCUGUUGCAGCUACCUACUCAGGCAUUACCAUGUUUUAUUUCCAAGAACUGUAUUACCCAAUGAAGAACAACUCCUGUUGUCUCACUCGAGGGAACGAACAGGUGGUUAUCGACUGGGGAUUUAACGGAGGUAUACAAUAGAAUGUAACAAGAUAGAAAUUUGCAGGCUUGGUGCAAUAAUAAAGUAAGUCUUUUAGUCUGCUACAUAGAAUUACAAUGCAUGUUAACUUUGGUACUCUUUGGGGCAGCUAACCCAUAAGAAACAAGAAUAUAAUUUUCUAUACAGAAAUAUUCAUGUCCAAUUUGUUACAUUUUGGUGUAGUUAACCCUUUUUUACCACCCCUAUUCAUAUACGUGGCUGGUAUUCACGCAUUUGACAUUUUUAUAAUUUUUUUGAGCAAAAGCUGUUUUUGAUGCAAAGAAAGUAGUCGAGUUGGACCACUCGAAUCCAAAUGCAUAUCUGUGCAAAAGGUGAGUAACUUUUGAAAUAACUGAAAUUAAUUUGUUAGUAUGUUAAAAAAAACAUCUCAUCUUCUACAAGUAGAUGUCAUAUACUUAUUUAAUUAACAUGUUUUGUAAAUAAGUAUAGAAAAUCAUUUGAAUGCUCGAUGGCAUGGUGAUGUUUUAAAAGCUUAUAGAAAAAGUUUAGGCAGUCCAUGGUUAAGGUUUCUAAUAUGGAUUUCAAAUAUGAUAUGUCAUUUUAUAAUAAUGAUAAUUAUUUAUAAUAUUAUUUAUCAUUUAUCUCUUUUAAAGGCAUUUAUUAAACAUGUAUCCCAUUUUAUUGGACUCCAUUCCUACAAUGUAAUAUACAAUUAAGUUUGUAGAUUUAUAUUUGAUUAUGUUUGUUGUUUCUAACGUUUGGUUUAUUUUUUUUUUUCAUUUGACCAUUAUUGUUGGGCUGAAUGAAACUAGACUUAACGUGUUGAUGUUCCAAAUGAAGUUGGGCUCAAGUGUAUCUGGGCUGAGUGAAGUUGCACAUAAGGUGGAAAAGGUGCCACUCAUCGAUAUAGUCAUCAUGGAACUUUAGAGAAGAUUACUUCAAAAUAUGGUUUUGAAACUUUAGAGCAGAUUACUUCAAAAUAAUUAAAUGUUUGUUGUUACGAGAACAGCACGAUGAUAUAUAUUUAAUCAGGGAGUUCAUCAUUGAUCAUCGGUUGGUAUUAUUUUUAUCAUCAAAUCGUCUUUGAUUAAUCGGUGAGUACAGGGAGUUCGUCUUCGUCUUCUACAGCGACCUUCAAUCAUUCUGCCAAGGUUCGUACUGUAUUGUAUUGUAUUGGAUGUGAAUUUGGUUUGAUCAAUGAGUAGUAUUGUAUUCGUUCUUGUA
This is a long non-coding RNA of Helianthus annuus (common sunflower), 1750 nucleotides long. RefSeq lists it as uncharacterized. Lineage: Eukaryota; Viridiplantae; Streptophyta; Magnoliopsida; Asterales; Asteraceae. The transcript has 6 exons. The record is from RefSeq and is a predicted model, not a curated record.